RNAcentral lists this non-coding RNA (31 nucleotides) under Mus musculus (house mouse). Lineage: Eukaryota; Metazoa; Chordata; Mammalia; Rodentia; Muridae. The record is from RNAcentral.
UAUAACUGUUUGUUGUUUCAUGGUUGGACCU